AUCUGUUUAGAGAUGAAACCCCUGCAUCAAUCUGAAAUGAGGGUUUUGAGCCCUGUUUGGAUACCACCUGCAAUUGCCGGUUUGGUAGUCACCUAUGAUUUAGGUGACAAAUUGACUAGACCCCAAAACCCAAAUAUAUUUAGAUAUCUUUGUAGAGCUUUUAUACAGUUUUGACAUAAGUGCAAACUCUCCCUAGAAAAUGUACUAGAAAUUACAAAAAAAGGGCUAACUUAUCAAAAAGCAAGACCCAUGGAGGAAGCAAAUGAAAAUGGGUCUAGACUAAUGUGAUAGUCCAUGACAAUUUAUAAAAUGGUGGUGAAUCUUUGAUUGUAGACAUGGGAUAGUCGUUCUGCAAUCCAGACCCUCCAAAUUGAUGACCUAAUUGUCGAUGGGGCAUAACCCAAAUAUGAAAUUGAGAAGACAGUUGAGACCAUCUGAUUUUUUCCUUAGAAUUGGACCAUCCAUUUGAUAGCCAUCGAUUGGAUGGUUUGGAUUGUUUGGUCAGUCUGAUUUUAGAGACUGAUGCUCCAUUUUAGGAUUACUUGAUAACCACCAUUUUAAAUAUGGUAGUGAUUCUUCACCUUAAUCAUGGCUUUUGUUAUGUGGGGUCUUGGGUAAUGAUAGUAAUUGGAAAAAGAGCAGCACAUAUUAUGUUUUGACCUCUUACCUGCAACCUUUGCUACUGUGGACUGGAGCAAUACUCAUUUGUAGGGUGCUAGAUCUAGUAACUCUACCAUCAGAGGCAAGCCAAGCUGUUAAGCAACGACUUAUGAAUUUUGUAAGAUCAUUAUCAACUGUGAUGGCCUUUGCAUAUUGUCUAUCAAGGUUGUUGAGACGGCGGUCGCUUUACAGGAGGCUAGAUGUUUCACAGUCAUUCUGGAAUGUUUGCCUGCACUUGUAGCUGCAGCUGCAACCUCAGGAAGGCAUUGGAGCUGGCCCUUUCUGUAGCGGCCAGAUAAGGCAAUAAGGAUCUCCGUUCUUAACAGAGCUAAGGCAGAGAUUGCUGCUUCCUUAGGUUGAGGCUGCAUUGGCUGGGACUCCAUACAACGUGCCCGUAAUAAACUCCCUUGUGCUUUACGUAGGAAUGUAGGAAAUGGUGAAGGGUGGGAAGCUAAUCUUCUCAUUUGAUGCAACAAAGAAAGCUUGCUUUGGAGUACUCCCACGAUAUGCAAAAGAUGAGCUUCAAAUUAGAUGGUUUGAGCUCCCAAAUUGCUUUAUCUUCCAUAAUGGUGAGUUUUUUUUCCCCUUUAACAGACCAACAACAAUGUCUCGGGAAACAUUUCAAGCUUACUAUGCCUAAUGUGCAUUUUGCAUCAUAAUCCUAUAUGCCAUAUCAAGCAGGGUUAAUUGGCCUAGGCACCAAGGGGUCCCAGAUGUGUGUUUGUGUUUCUAGUCUUUUGUAGCAUGCUCCCAUUCUUCAAUCUUGAUCAUUAGUGGGGAGACUUUUCUUUUUCACUCAAUUACCAAUUAACUUCAGUUUCUAUAGUUAUUUAUAUUCUUAGGUGGGAAGCGC
Molecule: long non-coding RNA, 1513 nt
Organism: Magnolia sinica
Lineage: Eukaryota; Viridiplantae; Streptophyta; Magnoliopsida; Magnoliales; Magnoliaceae
Exons: 5
Source: RefSeq, a predicted model, not a curated record